UACAUGGGGUGCAAACGUUGCUCGGAAUUAUUGGGCGUAAAGAGCGUGUAGGCGGCCAGACAGGUCCGUUGUGAAAACUCGAGGCUCAACCUCGAGAUGUCGAUGGAAACCGUCUGGCUAGAGUCCGGAAGAGGAGUGUGGAAUUCCUGGUGUAGCGGUGAAAUGCGCAGAUAUCAGGAAGAACACCUAUGGCGAAGGCAGCACUCUGGGACGGUACUGACGCUGAGACGCGAAAGCGUGGGGAGCGAACAGG
This 253-nucleotide ribosomal RNA is filed under the name uncultured bacterium. RNAcentral's name for it is "partial 16S ribosomal RNA". It matches the Rfam family "Bacterial small subunit ribosomal RNA", at positions 524 to 776 of the family's 1533-position model. The record is from RNAcentral.